UAGGGAUUUCUGAUAGUAUCAUUCUGACCC
Molecule: non-coding RNA, 30 nt
Filed under: Mus musculus (house mouse)
Lineage: Eukaryota; Metazoa; Chordata; Mammalia; Rodentia; Muridae
Source: RNAcentral